GUAAUGGGUGUAGCUGACGAGUACUAAUCGGUCGAGGGCUUAUCCU
Molecule: ribosomal RNA, 46 nt
Filed under: Cohnella sp. OV330
Lineage: Bacteria; Bacillati; Bacillota; Bacilli; Caryophanales; Paenibacillaceae
Description: 23S rRNA. Bacterial LSU
Source: RNAcentral